CGAACGGGUGAGUAAUGCGUGACCAACCUGCCCCAUGCUCCAGAAUAGCUCUUGGAAACGGGUGGUAAUGCUGGAUGCUCCAACUUGACGCAUGUCUUGUUGGGAAAGUGUUUAGUGGCAUGGGAUGGGGUCGCGUCCUAUCAGCUUGUAGGCGGGGUAAUGGCCCACCUAGGCUUCGACGGGUAGCCGGCCUGAGAGGGCGGACGGCCACAUUGGGACUGAGACACGGCCCAAACUCCUACGGGAGGCAGCAGGG
This 256-nucleotide ribosomal RNA is filed under the name uncultured Gardnerella sp. RNAcentral describes it as "partial 16S ribosomal RNA". It matches the Rfam family "Bacterial small subunit ribosomal RNA", at positions 99 to 354 of the family's 1533-position model. The record is from RNAcentral. Lineage: Bacteria; Bacillati; Actinomycetota; Actinomycetes; Bifidobacteriales; Bifidobacteriaceae.